AACGAACGCUGGCGGCAUGCCUAACACAUGCAAGUCGAACGAGACCUUCGGGUCUAGUGGCGCACGGGUGCGUAACGCGUGGGAACCUGCCUUUAGGUUCGGGAUAACUCAGAGAAAUUUGAGCUAAUACCGGAUGAUGUCUUCGGACCAAAGAUUUAUCGCCUUUAGAUGGGCCCGCGUUGGAUUAGCUAGUUGGUGGGGUAAAGGCCUACCAAGGCGACGAUCCAUAGCUGGUCUGAGAGGAUGAUCAGCCACACUGGGACUGAGACACGGCCCAGACUCCUACGGGAGGCAGCAGUGGGGAAUAUUGGACAAUGGGCGAAAGCCUGAUCCGGCAAUGCCGCGUGAGUGAUGAAGGCCUUAGGGUUGUAAAGCUCUUUUACCCGAGAUGAUAAUGACAGUAUCGGGAGAAUAAGCUCCGGCUAACUCCGUG
This 433-nucleotide ribosomal RNA is filed under the name uncultured bacterium. RNAcentral describes it as "partial 16S ribosomal RNA". It matches the Rfam family "Bacterial small subunit ribosomal RNA", at positions 29 to 507 of the family's 1533-position model. The record is from RNAcentral.